Molecule: ribosomal RNA, 828 nt
Filed under: uncultured bacterium
Lineage: Bacteria
Description: bacterial SSU rRNA
Rfam family: Bacterial small subunit ribosomal RNA
Source: RNAcentral
CUCAGAACGAACGCUGGCGGCAGGCUUAACACAUGCAAGUCGAACGCUGUAGCAAUACAGAGUGGCAGACGGGUGAGUAACGCGUGGGAACGUGCCCUUCGGUUCGGAAUAACUCAGGGAAACUUGAGCUAAUACCGGAUACGUGCGAGAGCAGAAAGAUUUAUCGCCGAAGGAUCGGCCCGCGUCCGAUUAGCUAGUUGGUGAGGUAAUGGCUCACCAAGGCGACGAUCGGUAGCUGGUCUGAGAGGAUGAUCAGCCACACUGGGACUGAGACACGGCCCAGACUCCUACGGGAGGCAGCAGUGGGGAAUAUUGGACAAUGGGCGAAAGCCUGAUCCAGCCAUGCCGCGUGAGUGAUGAAGGCCCUAGGGUUGUAAAGCUCUUUCGCCAGGGACGAUAAUGACGGUACCUGGAUAAGAAGCCCCGGCUAACUUCGUGCCAGCAGCCGCGGUAAUACGAAGGGGGCUAGCGUUGUUCGGAUUUACUGGGCGUAAAGCGCACGUAGGCGGAUCUUUAAGUCAGGGGUGAAAUCCCGGGGCUCAACCUCGGAACUGCCUUUGAUACUGGAGGUCUCGAGUCCGGGAGAGGUGAGUGGAACUUCCGGUGUAGCGGUGAAAUGCGUAGAUAUCGGAAGGAACACCUGUGGCGAAAGCGGCUCACUGGACCACAGCUGACGCUGAUGCACGAAAGCUAGGGGAGCAAACAGGAUUAGAUACCCUGGUAGUCCUAGCCCUAAACCAUGAUUGCUUGGUGUGGGGUACCCAAUCCCGCCGUGCCGUAGCUAACGCGUUAAGCAAUCCGCCUGGGGAGUACGGUCGCAAGGCUGAA